RNAcentral lists this ribosomal RNA (1351 nucleotides) under Thraustochytrium sp. DBTIOC-4. RNAcentral describes it as "SSU rRNA". The stretch from base 236 to 1351 matches the Rfam family "Eukaryotic small subunit ribosomal RNA". Lineage: Eukaryota; Bigyra; Thraustochytrida; Thraustochytriidae. The record is from RNAcentral.
UGGGCAUAUUUUGGUUCCCCCCACUUCCCAGGGAUUCCCCCCGAAAUACCGGUCGGGAUUGGGCUUUCCGGAGGGCCUGGGAAGGUCCCCUCCAGGAAGGCCGGGCGUAAUUCCCAAUUGGUUCCGGGGUUGGCGGAAAUUAAUGGGGGCUUCGUUUUGUUUUGAAUGAGCAAUUAAACCUCUUGGGGUCAAUGGAGGCAAUUUGGGCCGCAGCCCGGUAUUCCAGUCCAGAAGGUAUCUAAAGUGUGCAGUUAAAAGCUGUAGUGAAUUCUGGUUGGAACCCAGCCUCGUGCGAAUGGCCUUGUUUGCUUGCGGUCCUUUGCAUCCUCGUUUUCGUAGAAAGGGUCAUCCCUGUAUCAAGCAGAGGUUCCAGCAGCCGUAGGCCGGUAUUUUAUUAGGGAUGAUCAGAUAGACUCGGGGCUAUUUGUUGGUUGCACUUUGAGUAUGAUUAAUGGACCAGUCGGGGUAUCCGUUUUAGGAGCUAGAGGGAAAUUCUGGAUUUCCGAAGGACGACUCCAGCGAAGCCUUUACCAACCAUUUUUCAUUAUUCAGGAACGAAAUUCUGGGGAUGGAGGAUGAUUGGAUCCCUUGGUAGUUUAGCCGGUAAACGAUGCCGACUUGCGAUUGCGGGUGGCUUGUAUUGGGCUUCCGCAGCAGCCCAUGAGAAAUCAAAUUUUUUGGGUUCCGGGGGGGGUAUGGUCGCAAGGCUGAAACUUAAAGGAAUUGACGGAAGGGCACCCCCAGGAGUGGACCCUGCGGCUUAAUUUGACUCACCACGGGAAAACUUCCCAGGUCCAGCCAUAGUUAGGAUUGCCAGAUUGGGAGUUCUUUCUGGAUUUUAUGGGUGUUGGUCCAUGCCCGUUUUUAGUUGGUGGAGUGAUUUGUUUGGUUAAUUCCGUUAACGAACGAGACUUCGCCUUAUUAAUUACCCGGGCGUAGGGGGCCAUAGGUGUUGGUGGCUUCUUGGAGGGCCAUUUUCGGUUUAGGGCCAGGAAGUUGGAGGCAUUACCAGUUCGGGGAGGCCCUUAGAUGUUCGGGCCCCCACGCGCGUUCCAUUGAGGGGUUCACCGGUUGUUGUUGUGUUUUAUCGCAGCGUUGCUUUGUCGGAAGGCAUGGCUAAUCCUUUGAACGCCCAUCGUGCUGGGGCUAGAUUUUUGCAAUUAUUAAUCUCCAACGAGGAAUUCCUAGUAAACGCAAGUCAUCAGCUUGCAUUGAAUACGUCCCUGCCCUUUGUACACACCGCCCGUCGCACCUACCGAUUGAACGGUCCGAUGAAACCAUGGGACUACCUUUUGAGCGUUUGUUCGCGAUGGAGGUGGGAACUCGGGUGAAUCUUAUUUGUAGAGAAAGG